UCCGGAUAUUUCUCCCGGAACACCUCAGGUGAUUAACCUGUCAACACAUGUACUGACCCAGAAUCAAAUUACUAUCCUGGAGAAGGGAUUUCAUUAUUAUGUGUUUUCCACAGUGAAAGACGUGCAUUAAUUUGCAUGCAAACUGGUUUUAAAGAAGAUUUUUUGUCAGAAGCAAGAUAUAAAUUUUUCCACAUCCACUGAACAUGAUGCCCUGAUGACAUUGAUGGCACUUUUGGAUGAACAAGAGGUAGUUCCAUCAGCGGGUAAAUAAGGAUAUGAGACAACCGCCCGGAAGACCGAUCGUGUCCGGAAUUAAUAGUUUGAAUAAAGCGAUCUGCAAAUAUGUAGAAUUAUUUUUGCAUCCGCUGGUAGAAACAUUACCCUCAUAUCUUAAGGAUCCGAGAUUGCGCGAUGACGAUGGAGGAGGAGGUGUGACCAAACGUGAAUGUUCAUUGGCUGGAUAGCAUGAGCUAGGGGUAUAUUUGGGAGGGAUGGGAGAUAGGUGAGUUUUGCCCUUGAUAAAGCGCGAUAGCGAAACGGAUGUUGGGCCGUUCCCUUGUACCGGGGUAGGUUUAAUGAUAUGUAAAUCACAGCUCUCAGACAUAUCUGUUGGACUCUGCGUGUCCUAUGAGUUUUUGCAGAUGUUCCUAGUGACACGUAGGUUAUAGAAGCCUGUUGGUACCGCUUUACUUCCAUGAUUAUGGGCGUGUGGUAUUACACCAUUAAGGUUGCUGAGCUGUAUUAUUGAUGUUUAUUUAGACCUGUAGAGGGAUUUCUUUCUUACAUCCUUGCACUUCUCAAUAUAUGUUUUUAGUAUUUAUAUAAUUGUCUUGAUGUGUGUUUAUCAAUAAAGCUUCUUGUUCAGUA
Long non-coding RNA from Bufo gargarizans (Asiatic toad), 867 nucleotides. RefSeq lists it as uncharacterized. The transcript has 2 exons. NCBI's taxonomy places the organism in Eukaryota, Metazoa, Chordata, Amphibia, Anura, Bufonidae. The record is from RefSeq and is a predicted model, not a curated record.